Molecule: ribosomal RNA, 404 nt
Filed under: Fusobacteriota bacterium
Lineage: Bacteria; Fusobacteriati; Fusobacteriota
Description: Fusobacteria bacterium partial 16S ribosomal RNA
Rfam family: Bacterial small subunit ribosomal RNA
Source: RNAcentral
UGGGGAAUAUUGCACAAUGGGCGAAAGCCUGAUGCAGCGACGCCGCGUGAGUGAAGAAGUAUUUCGGUAUGUAAAGCUCUAUCAGCAGGGAAGAAAAUGACGGUACCUGACUAAGAAGCCCCGGCUAACUACGUGCCAGCAGCCGCGGUAAUACGUAGGGGGCAAGCGUUAUCCGGAUUUACUGGGUGUAAAGGGAGCGUAGACGGCGAAGCAAGUCUGAAGUGAAAACCCAGGGCUCAACCCUGGGAGUGCUUUGGAAACUGUUUUGCUAGAGUGUCGGAGAGGUAAGUGGAAUUCCUAGUGUAGCGGUGAAAUGCGUAGAUAUUAGGAGGAACACCAGUGGCGAAGGCGGCUUACUGGACGAUAACUGACGUUGAGGCUCGAAAGCGUGGGGAGCAAACAGG